Molecule: ribosomal RNA, 253 nt
Filed under: uncultured bacterium
Lineage: Bacteria
Description: partial 16S ribosomal RNA
Rfam family: Bacterial small subunit ribosomal RNA
Source: RNAcentral
UACAGAGGGUGCAAGCGUUAAUCGGAUUUACUGGGCGUAAAGGGCGCGUAGGUGGUUAUUUAAGUGAGAUGUGAAAUCCCCGGGCUCAACCUGGGAACUGCAUCUUAUACUGGGUAACUGGAGUACAUUAGAGGGUAGUGGAAUUUCCGGUGUAGCGGUGAAAUGCGUAGAUAUCGGAAGGAACACCAGUGGCGAAGGCGGCUACCUGGAAUGAUACUGACACUGAGGCGCGAGAGCGUGGGGAGCGAACAGG